This 905-nucleotide ribosomal RNA is filed under the name Scedosporium boydii. Its description in RNAcentral is "LSU rRNA". It matches the Rfam family "Eukaryotic large subunit ribosomal RNA", at positions 37 to 965 of the family's 3401-position model. Lineage: Eukaryota; Fungi; Ascomycota; Sordariomycetes; Microascales; Microascaceae. The record is from RNAcentral.
AGCAUAUCAAUAAGCGGAGGAAAAGAAACCAACAGGGAUUGCCUCAGUAACGGCGAGUGAAGCGGCAACAGCUCAAAUUUGAAAUCUGGCGGCCUCUGGGCCGUCCGAGUUGUAAUUUGAAGAGGAUGCUUUUGGCGAGGCGCCUUCCGAGUGCCCUGGAACGGGACGCCACAGAGGGUGAGAGCCCCGUAUGGUUGGACGCCGAGCCUCUGUAAAGCUCCUUCGACGAGUCGAGUAGUUUGGGAAUGCUGCUCAAAAUGGGAGGUAAACCCCUUCUAAAGCUAAAUACUGGCCAGAGACCGAUAGCGCACAAGUAGAGUGAUCGAAAGAUGAAAAGCACUUUGAAAAGAGAGUUAAACAGCACGUGAAAUUGUUGAAAGGGAAGCGCUUGCGACCAGACUUGUGCUCGUCGAAUCAGCCGCCGCUCGUCGGCGGCGCACUUCGGCGGGCUCAGGCCAGCAUCAGUUCGCUGCAGGGGGAGAAAGGCGGUGGGAAUGUGGCUCUUCGGAGUGUUAUAGCCCGCCGCGCAAUACCCCUCGGCGGACUGAGGACCGCGCAUCUGCAAGGAUGCUGGCGUAAUGGUCGUCAGCGACCCGUCUUGAAACACGGACCAAGGAGUCGUCCUAAUAUGCGAGUGUUCGGGUGUAAAACCCCUGCGCGUAAUGAAAGUGAACGGAGGUGAGAGCUUCGGCGCAUCAUCGACCGAUCCUGAUGUUCUCGGAUGGAUUUGAGUAAGAGCAUAUUGGGCCGGACCCGAAAGAAGGUGAACUAUGCCUGUAUAGGGUAAAGCCAGAGGAAACUCUGGUGGAGGCUCGCAGCGGUUCUGACGUGCAAAUCGAUCGUCAAAUAAUGGGCAUGGGGGGCGAAAGACUAAUCGAACCUUCUAGUAGCUGGUUUCCGCCGAG